GACGAACGCUGGCGGCGUGCUUAACACAUGCAAGUCGAACGAAGAGCGAUGGAAGCUUGCUUCUAUCAAUCUUAGUGGCGAACGGGUGAGUAACGCGUAAUCAACCUGCCCUUCAGAGGGGGACAACAGUUGGAAACGACUGCUAAUACCGCAUACGAUCUAAUCUCGGCAUCGAGGAUAGAUGAAAGGUGGCCUCUACAUGUAAGCUAUCACUGAAGGAGGGGAUUGCGUCUGAUUAGCUAGUUGGAGGGGUAACGGCCCACCAAGGCGAUGAUCAGUAGCCGGUCUGAGAGGAUGAACGGCCACAUUGGGACUGAGACACGGCCCAGACUCCUACGGGAGGCAGCAGUGGGGAAUCUUCCGCAAUGGACGAAAGUCUGACGGAGCAACGCCGCGUGAGUGAUGACGGCCUUCGGGUUGUAAAGCUCUGUUAAUCGGGACGAAAGGCCUUCUUGCCAAUAGUGAGAAGGAUUGACGGUACCGGAAGAGAAAGCCACGGCUAACUACGUG
RNAcentral lists this ribosomal RNA (510 nucleotides) under uncultured bacterium. Its description in RNAcentral is "partial 16S ribosomal RNA". It matches the Rfam family "Bacterial small subunit ribosomal RNA", at positions 28 to 507 of the family's 1533-position model. The record is from RNAcentral.